AGCUAACGUUGGCGGCGUGCCUAACACAUGCAAGUCGAACGCGUUCCGGGGGGCAACUCCCGGGAUGAGUGGCGAACGGGUGAGUAACACGUGGGUCAUCUCCCCUCGAGUGAGGAAUAAGCCCCCGAAAGGGGGUCUAAUACUGCAUAACGCGCGGGAACAUAAGUUCCCUCGCCAAAGCCGUAAGGCGCUUGAGGAUGAGCCUGCGUCCUAUUAGCUAGUUGGUAGGGUAAUGGCCUACCAAGGCGAAGAUGGGUAGCCGGCCUGAGAGGGUGAACGGCCACACUGGGACUGAGACACGGCCCAGACUCCUACGGGAGGCAG
RNAcentral lists this ribosomal RNA (324 nucleotides) under uncultured Nitrospirota bacterium. RNAcentral describes it as "bacterial SSU rRNA". It matches the Rfam family "Bacterial small subunit ribosomal RNA", at positions 29 to 351 of the family's 1533-position model. The record is from RNAcentral. Lineage: Bacteria; Pseudomonadati; Nitrospirota.